This is a long non-coding RNA of Gorilla gorilla gorilla (western lowland gorilla), 277 nucleotides long. RefSeq lists it as uncharacterized. The transcript has 3 exons. NCBI's taxonomy places the organism in Eukaryota, Metazoa, Chordata, Mammalia, Primates, Hominidae. The record is from RefSeq and is a predicted model, not a curated record.
CUGGAAGUCAAGAUUGCCACCUGGCCACUUUGGGCUCCUCCUACCUCUAAGUAAAACAGCUAAGAAGGGAGUUACAGUGUUAGCUGGGGUGAUUGACCUGGAUUAUCAAGAUGAAAUCAAUCUACUAUUUCACAAUAGAGAUGCCUCAAAACACCUGUGCGAUAAAAGCCAAACAUCCCCUAAAAGAAGGACUGCAACAUCAGAAUCCUAAUGUUAGAAAUUAAUCAUUUGAGUCCCUGCUGUUGAGGCUGAUUGCAGAGAAGGAAUAAUAAGAAGG